GAUGAACGCUGGCGGCGUGCCUAAUACAUGCAAGUCGAGCGAACAGACGAGGAGCUUGCUCCUCUGACGUUAGCGGCGGACGGGUGAGUAACACGUGGAUAACCUACCUAUAAGACUGGGAUAACUUCGGGAAACCGGAGCUAAUACCGGAUAAUAUAUUGAACCGCAUGGUUCAAUAGUGAAAGACGGUUUUGCUGUCACUUAUAGAUGGAUCCGCGCCGCAUUAGCUAGUUGGUAAGGUAACGGCUUACCAAGGCGACGAUGCGUAUCCGACCUGAGAGGAUGAUCGGCCACACUAGAACUGAGACACGAUCCAGACUCCUACGGGAGGCAGCAGUAGGGAAUCUUCCGCAAUGAGCGAAAGCCUGACGGAGCAACGCCGCGUGAGUGAUGAAGGUCUUCGGAUCGUAAAACUCUGUUAUUAGGGAAGAACAAAUGUGUAAGUAACUAUGCACGUCUUGACGGUACCUAAUCAGAAAGCCACGGCUAACUACGUG
RNAcentral lists this ribosomal RNA (497 nucleotides) under uncultured bacterium. RNAcentral describes it as "partial 16S ribosomal RNA". It matches the Rfam family "Bacterial small subunit ribosomal RNA", at positions 28 to 507 of the family's 1533-position model. The record is from RNAcentral.